Molecule: long non-coding RNA, 16519 nt
Filed under: Olea europaea (common olive)
Lineage: Eukaryota; Viridiplantae; Streptophyta; Magnoliopsida; Lamiales; Oleaceae
Description: long non-coding RNA (OEUR_LNC006262)
Source: RNAcentral
AUCAAUCAAGUCCACCAUGUAUGUCAUAUUACGUGUACGUUUCACGGAGAAGUACAAUUCAUGUGAUUUCAUAUUUAACUUUCUCGCAAUCUCUGCAACUUUGAAGAGUUUUUCCUCUUGAGCCUGGGCUAUUAUAUUCGUGUAAGUCUGUGAUUCCGCAUGUCAAUCAUGAAACUAUUGCUUCAACUUGUUACGAAUGUUCUCAAUCAUUGCGAGGGUUGAUAACUCUGGAUCCUUUGACGUCAUCAUGUUGUAUUAGCGUCCUGAAAAAUGUGGCAAAUUUAUUAAACAAAAAAUUCAGCCUUGCCACUUGGGUCAAUUGUUAAACAAUCGACUAUAAAAUCUAUCCGAAAAUGUAUAAUUGCCACAAAUCUCAUCUGAAAGGAUAUACAUGCGGAUGAAUUUUUUCUUGUUAGUGCUUAAAAAAUUAUAGAUUUGUUAAAAAAAAUUAUCUACAUGUUAAUAUAUGUCGAAAUAAGAUUUAUCGAUUAAAACGUACAUUAAUUUAAUGAAAAUAAAAUUAAUACGUAAAUAUAUUUACCGAUUCGAAGUGAUUGAUAAAAAAAAUAUUUCAUUGUUCAGCAUUCGAUAAAUUUCUAAGAUUUUGAGGUUGAAGCAUAUGAAAUAUGAGUGUUUUUAUUUGUAAUGGAAUAAACAGAUAAGAAAAGUUAUUUGGUUUAGAAAUUUUAAAUAGGAAAUGUUUGGUUUUCACUUGUUAAGUGAAAUGGUUGUAUUGUCUUUUAAAUAAAACAAUAUUUUGUAAUUAUAUAACAUAAGUGCAUAGUUGUCUUUUAACAUCAAAAAUGUCAUUGUGGAAUAUGCAGUUGUUGAAAAUUCAGAGUGAAAAUUAGAGGGUUUGACCAAACUAAUUUUUAAAAGUACCCCCAGAAGGAGAGACAUAAAUCAAGAAGCGGUAAAAGGGAGAAAAAAAAAAAAGGAAAGAAGAAGAGGCCGGUUUAAAAAUGGGAAAUGGGAAAUGAUGGCUAAACACUUAUGAGGUAGGGUUCUUCAAUUUCUCCUUUAAUUUAUAGUUGAAUUAUCUUUUAAGGUUUAUAAAAAAUUGUAUAUUUUUGAAUAUUAAGGUGUAUCUGAGUAAUUUAAGAAUACUAUUGCAAAGAAAUAUGAAUAUGUAAAGAUUUAUGUUGAAGUAUAUAAGAGACAUGAAAUUGGUUUGUAAAUUAGUCUCAAAUUCUAAUUCUAUUAUGUGUAGAUGGUACCAAACACUUGAUUAUGAUGUAUUACUGUGAGUGAUGAAUUUGACGUUGAAUUUUGAUUUUUAAUCACGAAAAGGCAAAGGGUACAUUUUUUUUUGUAGAUUACAUGUGAUGUGAUAAGAUAAUGAUAUGGAUUUGAGUUGAUGGUUAGUUAUAUCAUGAAUAUGAGAUGAUAUUUUUCAGUAUUAUGAGGCGUCUUACAUCUUGAUUAUUAUUAUAUGUUGUUAUAAUGUGAAUGUUUAAUGAGGUCAACUUGAUUUUCGAUAAAAAAGUAUAAAUGUGAAAGUAUAAUUAUUUUCAAACUUCUUUAUCUACUGAGCUAUCAACUCAUAUAUUUUCUUAUAAUUUUUACUACAGGUGGCAUUUGGUUCUUUAUAGUUGGAGGAACCCAAUGAUUUCAAAGUGAAAAUCACACACAACAUAUUUAGUGAUAUAAUUCAUUUGGGGCCCAUUGCAUUAUUUCUUCCGUAAACAUAUUAUUUGGCGCAUAUUUAGUAGUAACUCAUAGUCAGCCUAGGCGAUGAAUCUGGCAUCUCAUUAGCAUUUAUCAUCGGUGCACGCUACAUUUUGGGUCCACUAAGGUGAUUCGAGGUGUCAGUAACACUUAAAUGAACCUAAGUAUUUAAGAUAUAUAAUCAAUAAGAGUUACAUGAGUAUCCAUUAAGAUUAGAUGUUGGUACCUUCCGUUGCCUUGUUUUGAAAGUUUUAGUGAUUGUUUUCCUAUUACAAUUAUCUUAGCUUUUUACUUUUGUUUCUUUGACACAAUUUUUGGUAUCGGUUGGUAUUGUUCUUCCAUUUUAAGACUUGUAUUGGAAGUGAAGGUUUUGUAAAUUAUUUUUUUCUUUUUGUAAAGCUGAAGGAAGUGUAGUGUUUUUUGUUUUAAAAUCGGAAAUGAAGUCUUUGUAAAAGCAAAUGUAUUAUUUAUAGAGGAAAUGUCACAGAUAAAUUGUCAAAGUUUUAAUAAAAAGCAAGAAAGAUCAGGAUGUACAGUGUCUGGUUAUAUUAGAAUCAGUACUUUAUGUUCAAAUUAGAGCUGCAAUUAUCGGAUAAGUAUGGGCAAGCAAAUUAAUUGAUUGUUGAAGCUUCAACUUGUACAAGAAUGCCCUUAAAUAAAAAACUAUUGAAUGAAAAUCACACAAUACACGCUAGAAAACAAAUUCUACUAUAUAAAAUAAGACAUGGCUACGUCCCUACUACAUAUAGAAUUGUAAAGCUAUUAUUAAAUGUGAUUGUUUAGAUAGAUUCAUGUAAAUAUGAAAUAUACAUAUUUUAAAAACAAUUAUAAAUAAAACAAAUGAAGGAAAAUAUUUAAUUUGUAGUUAAUCUAAGAGAAAAUAAGCCCCCGUUUGGCCCUCAUUAAAUUUCAUUUCAUUUUUUUCUUUUUUAUUUUUAACCACACAAUUUUCCAUAAAAUAAUAUUAUAUGUAAAUCGAAUUUUUUUCUUCUUUUUUCAAUCACUCAUUUUUAAAAAAAACAUUAGUCCAUCUAUUUUCAUUUCUAAAAUGAGGGCCAAAUGUGGGCUAAGACUGAAGUAAAAAAAAUUUUUAGUACUUACAAAAAAUCAAGAAGAUAAUGUAGUAAUAUAGUUAUAUAUAUCCAAGCUGUAGAACUAUGCUUGCAUAUUCCCAAUGGCAGGAGAAGACUCAACAGCAGGAGAAGACUCAACAAAAUUUAUGAAGGGAAACAUAAUGAAGAGAUUAAACCACAUUGUACCAUUACCAAACCGAUAGAGAGAUCAGCAUUGGAAGCGACUUCAGUUUCUCCACUGCACAUAGUGACACAACCAAUUAAAAAUAAGUCUAUUCACCAAAAUGUAUCUUUUAUCAUGACACAUGAGCUAAGUUUCAUACAUGUUGUUGCGUAUUGUCAUACUUGGCCAAUCUACCUGGGCUAGUGGCCCACUCAGCCGAACCACGUGGCACUUCAGUCGAGGCGGUACAUAUUGUCGAGGUGGGCUACGUCCGAAGCCCUUCAAUCCGAGGCAUGCCUCUUCACCGAGGCCUGUGAUGGCAACCGAGGUCGACAUGCUGAGACCUAUUGCCCGACGCCAUGAUGCGGAGCUGGUUGAAGUUAGCUGAAGCCCUCAAGUGGAAGUAUUGUAUGAAAUGGCGGAAGCCCCGAAACUGAUGCAGGAGCAUCCGAACCACAUGGGAACAUCCUCCAUGAUCACUUCUCCCAAAAGAUCAUCUACACAAAGAUCUUAUUCGAAUGAUUGAUGGAACGUUUGUCAUAAGCAUAAAGGUCAAGUCUUAUCACUAGCAUGGAGGCUUUGCACAAGCAAUAAAUGCGCAGCAAGCUAGCAAGUCAAGCCCCCUGCCUAGGAUAAGAUGUUUGAAUCAAAGAGAUGAGGCCACGUGCCACCUCAUCCAAGGGCCCCCAUUUUACAUGUAUCACUAUAAAUACUUUCCUUGUGUAACAUCAAAGGACUAAUGCAAGAAUCUAUACAAAAAACUACACUUUACUCAACUCUCUCUCAUUUAUUUGCAAUACACAAAUUGAGUUUACAUAUAUUUACAUGUACAUUUACAAACACCGGUUGGUAAUUAUUGUACAAUCGGAUCACGAACAACCCGUCGGAUUUCGAACGUCACCGUCCCGCGUCGUUGGGCUACUCCCACGCCCUUUGAAUCGCUCGUUGUAGACCGUCCACGUGUCAUAGCAUGUUGGACAUUCGCCCACGUGUGUGCGGGUGGGACCGACAUCUGUUGGCAACACUUUUUGGGGUCAACAGAUUGGCGCCGUCUAUGGGAAACCAUACCAUAACCGCGAGCAACUUUGUGGUAAAAGCUUACUGAAAGGACAUUUGGGCAACCCCCCUUGAAAAAGGAUUUAUUCUUGGAAAAGAAUAGGAGGAAGCCCCAUUACUUAGUGAAAUCUGAAGUCUUACAAAAGAAAAUGAGCUCCAAUGAAGAUACUCCCCCUAGGAGAGUAAGAGAAAACACGAACGUGCCUCCUCAGCCCGCUGCCCCAGCAGCUCGACAAAGACUCCACCACCACCAAAGAAGAGGUGGGAUGCGUGCAACGGCACGACUAUCAAGAGAAAUGGCCGUCAUGGCUGCCAACAUGAGGGAUAUUGCUAUCCAAAACUUGGCUAUGAGGGAGCUUAUGGCCCAAAUGCAGGGUCAGGGAGGCUUCCUCAUUCUUCUAUACGCCCCCCAAGGGCACUACCAGCAAGAUGAUGAAGUUCAAAGUCAUAGAACUACCUCGCCAGACUAUGGUCGAGGUGGAAGCCCAUUUGAAAGGGAAGUUGAAGUUGAUGUUUCUUCCAACUACGCUUCUGGCCGACCCACCGAGGUCCCAAUGAGCCAUGAUAAUUUUCCACCUCCGUAUGAGCAAGAUCCAAGGCAUAGGAGGGCAGGAAGUGUUUUUGAUAGAAUCAGCCCCGCCGAACCGAGUCUCAGGCAACAACAGGCACAACAGCCUUGGACAAGGCCGCCUCCUCCACCUCCAAUGCCCCAGCAGGCGGAGAGAAGCCAUGAAAAUGCCCCCUGUGUUGCUCUGCCUAGAAAUAGGCAACAGAGGAGGGGGGAAGAGGCUAGGGAUCGCCCCGGAACCUCUCACCAACAACCGGGGCAUGGGGUUGAUGAGUACGACUCUGACGAACAGCAGAGGUCCUGGGACUUAGACGAUGACGAUGAGAAUCUACCGUUCUCAACGGAACUAAGGAAUGCUCACGUCUCGAGCCACUAUGUUAUGCCAAAAAUACCAAAGUAUGACAAAAGAGAUGACUCGAAAAAGCACCUAAAUGCUUAUAAAACUCACAUGAACCUAAGGGGCGCCACCCCAGCCUUGAAGUGCAGAGCCUUCCAUUUAACGCUUAGUGGAGCGGCUGAAAUUUGGUAUAGUAGAUUGCCACCUGGGAGCAUUAGAAGCUGGCCCGAGUUCAAGACAACAUUCUUGAAGAGGUUCGCGGUGAGCAAAGAAGGAGAGGCCCCCUGUUCACAGAAUAUUUCUUCUCGAUUUUAAAACCCACCGCAAGUGUACGGUUCGUUAACAAGUAGUAAAAUGGACUAUGAGUCCAAGUAUCGUUCCCACGAGGAUUGAAUUAGCUCUAAUUAGACUAAUGUGAUCUUAACCGAAUCUAAUUGAAUGAAAAUUUGAUUUAAAUGUGAAAAACCCUAAAAUUGGAAGAAAUCCCCAAUUUGAAACCCUAAUUUCAAAAUUAGAAACCCUAAUUUUGAAAUUUCACUAAUCGAAUGAAAUAAACAUGCAAUUGAAAUGUAAAUAUGCAAUUUUAUCACUAAUGUAUUGAAAUGAAUAGAAAUGAAAUCAUUAAGAACUCGAAUCCCCAAUUGACUAUUAAAAACCCUAAUUUCACAAAUUCAACGAAUCGAUGGAACAAAAUGCCAAUUCAAUGUUUCUAAAUUAUCCAAUACACUCUCUCGAUAUAUAUUGAAUCUACUCUUACACACCACCAGCCUAUAUUUAUAUGGAUGAUGCAAUGUACAAGAAUGCAUGACUUUUUAUGAACAUUUUCAUGAAUUGCAUAAAGCAUAAAGGUAAGUUUCCAUCCCCUAUCGGACCCUAUGUCNNNNNNNNNNNNNNNNNNNNNNNNNNNNNNNNNNNNNNNNNNNNNNNNNNNNNNNNNNNNNNNNNNNNNNNNNNNNNNNNNNNNNNNNNNNNNNNNNNNNNNNNNNNNNNNNNNAAGGAGUUUCAGCCAAAACGAAAAACUACGCCCGAAGUUUCAAAAACAUACUAUGCGACCGCAUAGAAGGGAUCUAUGUGGUCGCAUAGAUCAAAUUUUUUUUGCUCAUUGAAUCCCUGAAACCUUCUAUGCGACCGCAUAGAAGGUUACACUAUGCGGUCGCAUAGAAGUAACCAUCUAUGUGGUUUGUGCAAUUUGGUCCCUGAACUUCUUUGUUGCUUCUCUUGACUUCUUUCUUCGAUUUCUUCAUCUUUUCAACAAUUCUUAUCUUCCAAUUGAUGAUCGACACUUUCAAAUAUUAUGCCACUCAUUCGGCACAUCUUUUGAGUAUUUGCACUUUAGUCCUCCAACUUUCAAUUUUCUUCAUUUUAGUCUAUCUUCCAUUCUUUCUUCCUCCACUUGUUUUGCUUUGUCAUUGAGCUCAUACUUGGCAUGUUUUUACUCUCGUUUUGCAUUUAGCUCAACUUUUCAAUAUUUGCACCUUUGGUCCUCGAACUAUCAAAUUGUUGCGUUUUGGUCCUUCUUCGGCUCUUUUCUCCUGAAUUCCACAAUUUUCAUUGAAUCACCUACAAUGCAUGAAUUUAAUUGGAUUAAGUCACAAUUCAACCAUUUUAUCCAUGUUUAAGUCAUGUUUGUGAACCAAAUAAGUGUAAAAACACACUUAUCACCCCCAUCCAACGUCUCCAGGACAUGAGGCAAGCACAUGGGGAGUCCCUAAAGAGCUUCUUAUCACGUUUCACCGAUGAGAUGACAUACUGCGUACAAGUCAUUGAUCGAGAGGCACUAUCCGCAUUAAGGGGAGGUCUGAACAUGAAUACCUUAUUCUGGAGAGAUGUGCAGAAUCAAGAACCCACCACCUAUGACGCCCUACUCGAAAUGAUGAGAAGGGAGAUCAUCAAUGAAGAAUUGAUUGAGCAUAGGAACAGGGCAAGUAGAGGCCUCCCACCUCCUCAAAGACAGUGCGAUAGAGGACGAUCUCUCACCAAGCUGGAAAUGAGAACUCUGGUCAAGCACUUGCCACCGCCACCCUGAAUACGGUUCCCACCUUGGCAUAUGAGGAUGUCAACCUAAUUACUGACCCCCAUCAGAUGGGGGCCUAGGAGAUACCCCGUCGGGGGAGAGGCCGAGGUCAAAGUUCUAGACCUAGAAAUAGGUCAAAUCCGAACCCUCCAGGAUACUGUGUACACCAUAGGUCCUACGGGCAUGACACAGCGGAUUGUAGAGACUAUGCACAACGUGCCCGGUAGGAACCCGUUAGAGACGGAUAUGAUUAGCCCCAGGCGAAUAAGCCCCCGCCCAGGCACGACAACCGACGUGGGCGUGAGGAGAUCGCUCCCUGUCAAAGGGAUGUAUCCCCGAGGCGAAUGGAGCAUAAUGCGGAGAGGCCCAGGGAAGGGCGUGGGCACCAAAGAAAUCGACAAGCUCGAGAUGAAGUCCCUAUUCACGAGGUGGAUACCAUAUUUGGAGGUUCGUAUGUUGGCCGUGAAACACGAAACGCCAAAAGGAACUAUGAUCGGGAGGCUAAACACCCCCCUUUGACAAGCUACAUUGUGGGUAGCAGCUCUCGAAGAAACCAGGUUCCACCCAUUGUAUUUACCCAGGAAGACGCAGAGGGAGUUCAUUACCCCCAUUGCGAUGCACUUGUGGUGAGAGCUGUCAUAGCCAGGAAUGGGCUCAAACGAAUGUUAGUCUACAACGGCAGCUCCGUCAACAUUCUAUUCGGAUCCGCCUUUGAUAAAAUGAUAUUGGAUCAUCAGCUGACGCCCACCACCAAACCAUUGUACGGAUUUACCGGAGAUAGCAUCACUUCGAGGGGAAAGAUAACACUUGUGGUGGAGAUGGGAGAAUUCCCACGAACAACGAUGAACUUCAUGGAGUUCCUCAUUGUCGACAGCAGGUCGGAUUACCACAGAGUUUUGGGCAGGCUAGCCCUGAAGGAAUUGGGAGCAGUCACCUCCAUCCACCACCUAUGCAUGAAAUUCCCGACAGAGAAUGGGGUGGCAAAGGUGAAAGGCGACCAAAGAGGCUCAAGAGAGUGCUAUCUAAGCUCCAUCAAGAAGGUAGAGCCCCGGGACGUCCAUGUAAUCAUAGCUGACGUGGUCAUAGCCGAUGUCCCAAGUAAUGCUCCCACCGAACAAGAAGAUGUUGAUAUGAUCGACGCUCCACCUAAUCUGAGGUGCAAGUAAUUGAUAAGAUUGACCCCCGCAUAACGGAACACGAGCCUCAGGCAUCCCCAGUAGAGGAACUUGAGAGCUUCUCGGUAGACCCCCCGAGACCCAUCAAAAGGUGCUGAAGGUAGGCAAAUGCCUAUCCAACAUUCUGAAGGAAAAGAUCAAGGAUUUCCUGAGCUGAUGUCUUUGCUUGGAGGUAUGAGGACAUGGUAGGCAUAGACCCCAAGGUCAGCUGCCACCACCUAAAAAUCGAUCCUAAGGUUGCCCCACAUAGACAAAAAAGGAGAGACCUCAAUUCUGAGAGGUAUGAGGCCCUAAAGGAAGAAGUUCAGAAGCUCAUCCAAAAUGGCUUCAUUAGGGAGGCAACCUACCCAAAGUGGGUCUCUAACCCGGUUUUGGUAAAGAAACACAACGGCAAAGUGCAUCGACUUCACCAACCUCAAUAGAGCUUGCCCGAAAGACAGCUUUCCACUCCCAAGAAUUGACCAACUAGUAGACUCUACUGCUGGGCACGAGUUGUUGAGUUUCAUGGAUGCGUACUCUGGCUACAACCAAAUUCCCAUGCACCCGGCUGAUGAAGAGCACACCUCUUUCAUCACAGACCAAGGCCUCUAUUGUUAUAGAAUGAUGCCCUUCGGGUUGAAAAAUGUCGGAGCAACCUACCAAAGACUCGUAAAUAAGAUGUUUAUGGACCUCAUUGGCAAACAAUGGAGGUCUACGUAGAAAUUUUGGAGGCUGAGGACCACAUGACGCACCUCAAUAGCACUUUCCAAAUCCUAAGAAGGUAUAGGAUGAGACUAAACCCCCUCAAGUGCGCCUUUGGGGUAGCUUCCGACAAAUUCUUGGGGUACAUGGUCAACCAACGAGGAAUUGAGACCAACCCCGAAAAGAUUGAGGCUCUAUGCAAAAUGAGGUCCUCCCAAAAGCCAAAGGAGGUACAAAGUCUUACCGGACGAGUGGCCGCACUUAGCCGCUUCGUUUCCAAAGCUACGGACAAAUGCCUCCCAUUUUUCAAGGUACUGAAGGCUGGGAAGAAAUUCCAGUGGACUGAGGAAUGUGAAGAGGCCUUCCAAUGCCUGAAAAUGCACCUGGGACAGGCCUCCCUCCUCUCCAAACCGAAGCCUGGUGAUAUCCUACAACUAUAUAUGGACGUCUCUAAUGAGGCUAUCAGCUCGGUUCUAAUACGGGAAGAAGGGUCUACCCAACUCCCCGUAUACUACACAAGUAAAGCGCUCCUAUCGUUGGAAACCCGUUAUCCCGAUAUGGAGAAGCUAGCUUUGGCCUUGAUCACGGCCUCUAGGAAAUUGAGACCCUACUUCCAAGCUCACACCAUCCAUAUACUGACAAACUUUUCCCUGAGGUAGGUACUCCAAAGGCCUGAUGCCUCAGGAAGGUUAUUGAAAUGGGCAGUGAAACUAAGUGAAUUUGACCUUGUGUUCAAGGCUAGGGCAGCCAUAAAAGGACAAGUCUUAGUUGACUUUGUGGUUGAAUUUGCCAACCUACCCGAGGUAGAUGAAAUCAUGGAACCUGCCGAACCCCCCACGUGGGAUCUCUUCGUUGAUGGGUCAGCCGGGGAUGUUGGCUCCGGCGCUGGGGUUGUCCUCAUCAGCCCCGAAGGUCACAAACUCACCUCGGCGAUAAGAUUCGAAUUCAAAGCUACCAAUAACGCAGCAGAAUAUGAGGUACUUCUUGCGGGCCUCAGGCUGGCCACCAAAAUGCAAGUAAAGAGGCUACUCAUUAGUAGUGACUCCCAGCUGGUUGUUAGCCAGGUCAAUGGUAACUUCUCAGCCAAAGACAAAACGAUUGCCUCCUACCUGAAAAUGGUGAUGAACCUUAUCCCAUCCUUCGAAAAGUUUGAGUUGAUCCAGAUCCCCCGCAUCGAAAAAUGCGCAUGCAGAUGCACUAUCGAAGCUGGCUAGCAGCGAGGACUCAGAACUACUCACAGUAGUACCUAUUGAGCACCUCAUCCUACCUUCGAUCAAGGCCCCAACUGUAAUGUGGGUCGCUAGGACUCCUACUUGGAUGCAACCAAUCGUAGCAUACCUCAAAGACCAGGCACUGCCAACUAAAAAAAAUGAGGCUUACAAGCUAAGAAGGAGGUCAGCUCACUUCCUCUUCAUUGAUGACGUUCUCUACAAGAGGAGCUUCUCCUUCCCACUCUUACGGUGCAUCGGAGGAGAAGAGGCUACCUACAUAUUGAGGGAAGUCCACGAGGGUGUAUGCGGCAACCACUCCAGAGGUCUAUCUCUGGCACAAAAAAUAUUGAGGCAGGAGUACUAUUGGCCCACACUAAAGCGGGAUGCCCUCGAGUUUGUACGAAAAUGCGAUAAAUGUCAGCGCUUCUCUCCGGUGUAGAGACAACCAUCGCAGGAGCUGACCACCGUCUCUAGCCCCUGGCCUUUCUCAAAAUGGGGUGUGGACCUCAUAGGUCCCCCAUCUCAAGGUAGAGGAGGGGCAAGUUUUGCAAUUGUGGCUAUUGAUUACUUCACGAAGUGGGUCGAAGCCGAACCACUAGCAAAAAUCACUGAAGCCAAUACCUCCAAGUUCUUAUGGAAAAAUAUUAUUUGCUGGUUAGGAAUUCCCCACUCAAUUGUCUCAGACAAUGGCAGACAGUUUGACAACAAGAAGGUUAGAGAAUUAUGCGAAGAGCUCGGCAUAAAUAAGCACUUCUCCACACCUCACCACCACAAGCAAAUGGCCAAGUUGAGGCCAUGAACAAGACAAUCAAGCACGUCUUGAAAAGGAAGCUUGAUGUAUCAAAAGGGGCUUGGGUUGAUGAGCUGUCCCAAGUCCUUUGGGCGAUCCGAACCACCACCAGGACCCCAACAGGAGAAACGUCCUUCCUCAUGGCAUUUGGAAUUGAGGCUAUGAGCCCCGUGGAGGUCGGACUUCCAUCCCCAAGACGUCUGCACUUCAGCAAGAUAACUAACGAUGAGCUUCGGAGGCUCGACCUCGACUUCAUCGAAGAAAGAAGAGAUGACUCCCAAUUGAAGCUCGGCACAUAUCAGAGAAAGAUGACAAGGUACUUCAACUCGAAAGUCAAGAAGAGGUCAUUCCGAAUCAACGACCUUGUGCUCAGGAGGGUCUUCCUGUCCUCAAAAGAACCUGGUUCCGGUUCUCUAGGCCUAAACUAGGAAGGUCCAUACAAAAUUAGAGAAGAAGUUCGACCUGGGACUUAUUGGAUUGAAGACAUGAACGGCAAGGCACAACCCCGUCCAUGGAACAUUGAACAGCUCAGAAUCUAUUACCAAUGAAUGUACUAUUUUACUGGACGACCUUUCCCAGCCUUUGUAACAUUUCUAUGGUUCAAUAAAAUUCAGUGAUUAAAUUAACAUGUUGCACUACCUCAUCACCUCGGAGGAGAGGCUCGUGUCCCACCUCUGGGCCACCUCGCUUGAACUCCGAGAUUCCAGCACAUGCCCCCCUUUGGCCAGACAAAACGCCAAGGGGAGAAGCCUCAACAUGGCUGCACCAUCCACCAUAUCUGGGAUGCGUCAUCACCUCGGAGGAGAGGCUCGUGUCCCACCUCUGGGCCACCUCGCGUGAACUCCGAGGCUCCAGCACAUGCCUCCCUUUGGCCAAACAAAAUGCCAAGGGGAGAAGCCUCAACAUGGCUGCACCAUCCACCAUGUCUGGGAUGCGUUGUCACCUCGGAAGAGAGGCUCGCGUCCCACCUCUGGGCCACCUCGCUUGAACUCCGAGACUCUAGCACAUGCCUCCCUUUGGCCAGACAAAAUGCCAAGGGAAGAAGCCUCAACAUGGUUGCACCAUCCACCAUGUUUGGGAUGCGUCGUCACCUCGGAGGAGAGGCUCACAUCCCACCUCCGAGCCACCUCGCUUGAACUCCGAGGCUCUAGCACAUGCCUCCCUUUGGCCAGACAAAAUGCUAAGAGGAGGAGCCUCAACAUGGCUGUACCGUCCACCAUGUCUGGGAUGCGUCUUCACCUCGGAGAGAGGGUCGCCUUCUCCACCUCGCUUGAACUCCGAAGCGCUAACACAGGCUGAACGCCAAUGAGAAGCCACCUCACGCGCAAUUGAGGCUCACUUAAGUUUAAGGCUCAUACAGUUAUUAUGCUUAAGUAAAGUUCAUUAGCUAAAGUCUGAGGUUUGUACAGUCGUCCAAUCCAGUUGUUUAAAGUAAUUGAAGUUAAGGUACCAAGUUAGAGUUAUUUAGUUGGUGCUUCUGUCAACCUUUAAGUUCAUAUGCUUAAAUGAGGCGCGUACACUUUGAUAAAGAAACAACAAUGAAUGAAAUAGUCAUUAUAUUGAUCUUCAAAAAGGAUUACAAAAGUGGGCCUUAGGCCAUUACAUUCGAAAAAACUGAAAAGAAAACUAAUCUAAGCUUGGGUAGAUGGAGAAGGAGCUUCUGUGCUUUGGGCUUCGGCAUCUUGAGCAUCGGCAUUUGUCUCCCCUACCUCAGCUGCCUCAUUACCCUGUACUUUCUCAGCCGGGGUCUGAGGUACCUCAUCCACGAAUUCAGACCUGAGUUGAGUCAGAUCCAAACUCAGAUAUAGUUCCUCUGCCCGCUUCAUCACCUCAACGUAGGCAAAGUUUCUCCAGUAAGCACUGAAACUCUUAUACUCCUCUGUGUUAUGGAAGUUCGCAACAUACUCUCGCACCGCCUCUUCCCUCGCCUAUUGAGCCUCCUCUCUGGCAUGGGAUGCAUCAUCCACAUACCACUUGACUUGAGUUUCCAAGAAAUGGUAAGCUUCUUGGGCACUCGUCAAAGAGAGAUUUGCCUUCUCCAGGGCCUUGGCGGUUACCUUCUGGUGCUCAUUGGAGACCUCCACCUUCUUUGUAAGAGAAGCCACCUCGCACUAUGACUCAUGGACCUCCUUCUUCGAGGCCUCAAUCUGGGCCAAGGCAGACUCAAGCUUGGCCAUUUCUUCAAGUUUUUGGGCCCUGGCUUCUUCCGUCUCGGCCCUAACUGCCUUCAACUCCUCUACAAGGGAGGCCAUCUUUUCCUCCGAAGACUGGGUCCUUGUUUGAAAAUCACUCAAGGCCUCCCUACAUUCAAGAGCGAGGCCAAAAGUUCUGACGCUUUGGCUCACCAACGCCCUCGUCAGGUCGAUGGCAUCGUAGGAGGAAGCAUGCAGCUGCUACCUGUCCGUCCAGGACCGGUAAAAAUUCUCCGUGGCGCUUCGGACCUGCUGGGGAAGAGCCUCCACCAGGGCCAGGGCUAAGGUCUCCUCCCUUCCAGUUAGGAAGCUUGGAGACUUCCCCUUCUCCCGAACAGGCUUUUGUUUAGCUGCCUCCUCCUCGACAGCCCUCCUCAGCCUCAGCCUCAGCCUCAGCCUCAGCCUCAGCCUCUCUAACCAUUUCUAACUUGAUGGCUUUGGAGGCAGAUGCGAGCAGCUUUGGCUCGCCUGUUGAUUUGGCCUCGUGGGACACUGAUGUCCAAAAUUUCCCGGAUGAGCUAGUAACGUGCACCACCUUCCUCCUCUUCGCCUCCUCUGGGACCUUCUCUUUCUCCCAAGGCUCUUUUGGCCUCUCCUGCCUCUGGGAAGCUCCUUCUUCGGAAGCCUUUGAAGUACUGUCCUUGGAAAGGCGUUCCACCCUGCCUCGGACCUCCUUGGCCCCACUAGACCCCGGCUUCAAGGCCCUUGCCUUGACAGUGGUGGUGGCCUGUAGAAUUGUAGCCAUGUUUGGAGCUGGGUACUCCUUCCUCUUGAAUUUAUCUGCAGAAGAACGUCAAGUCAGCACAUCAGUAUCCAAUCAAAAGGACAAGGAAAUUUAGAACUAUGGGAGCCUCGUACCUCUGGAUGCCAUUAGUCCAAAAUCUAGGAAGUAGCGACUCCUGUCAAUCAGAUGGUCAAAGUGACGGAGCUUCAGAGGCCUCUUGUAGAUGUUCUCUAUCACCUCGAACUCUUCUUGGCUAAGCUCAAACCUCGUAUUACAAUCUGCAAUGGAAGCCCCAAUGGUUAGAAAUUUUCUAAAAAUUUUCUAAGUGUUCAAAUUCGGUACAAACAGGGGUUGGAAGACUCACGAGCUUCGUAAUACUGGGUCGACACUGUUCAAGAAAGGGUCUUGUCCCCCUCCACUGCCUGCCAUUUUCCCCGCACCCAGAACCAGGACUCCUUCCACCCCUUAAUGAAGGAAGGCAGUCCCACCACAAAGGGUGCGUGAGCCCCCCAAGGUGUGAGGUAAUACCACCUCCUGGACUCCUUCCCUAUGAUCCGGGGCUGAAAAAGGGUCAUGAAUACAUGGAGAGACAUGUCCUCCCCAAGUGACACCUCCUUCCUUAGGAAGUACGAGCCGACCAACUGGCUCCACCCAUUUGGUAGAACCUGGAUCGGCGACAACAUAAAGUUCCUCAACACCGCCCUAAAGACGGGGUGCAGAGGAAGACGCAUACCUACCUUAAACAGGUAUUCACUGACUGCCAUGCAUCCAGGCCUCGGAUAGCAGGCACGCUCAUUUGGCUCGGGUACUAGCAUUUCUAUGGUGUGGGAGACACUGUAUCUCUCCCUGAUCUCUCCUAACCUUUUCCACGUCAUACUUGAGGGCACCCUAGACGCCCUCCACUCUUCAGUAUAAUCUACUGGGUCCUCGUCCAUAGCAUAACUAUCAGCUUCGGCAUCCCUCCUCUGACUGACCCCAUAAUCUAACGACGCUACAAUCACCAACUCCCUACCCGAUGAGGACUCUAUGUCACAGAAUUAACACACAAAAGGGGUUUUUCUGCGAAUAAUACCUAAGGGAAGAACACUACGCGAAUAGAGAAUAGACUGAAAAAAUCAAAGAACAGGCAGCCUUGACGCCGAAAAGUUCAAGAUUUUGAGAGAGAAUUAAAUUGCAAGUUUUCAAAAGUCCUAAAAAAUGGGAUUCUCUUACCUUUUAUAGAGGUCCAGGACAAACCCCAACCGUCAGAUCGAAUCUCAGUCAAUCUGAACCCUCCUUUGAAGAAUAAAUCCGAGGCGUUGAAUUCAAACGAUUUUUCCAACCUACGUCUCAGAUUCAAGCGUGCCUCCCACGCACCCCAUCCAAUGCGUCUGCUUUUAGAACCUCCAGCUGUCCUCAUAAUUGUGUUUUUAAUUCGACAGCAGCAAGUGCCUUGGAAGUCGUACGGGUCAGCCGCUUUUCCUCGAAAACAAGCACAAAACAUCAAAUCAUUGGCGCGGCUAUCGACGCACGAUCAUUCCCAUCGAAGCUCGACUUCAACUUCAGCGAUCAGCCUACGAGCCUCGCGGGUUCGGUUUUCCAACCACUUCGGUUUCAACUUCAGCGAUCAGCCUACGAGCCUCGCAGGUUCGAUUUCCCAACCACCUCGACUUCAGCUUCAGUGAUCAGCCUAUGAGCCUCGCAGGUUCGGUUUUCCAACUACCUCGGCUUCCACCUCAACAUAGCCUCGAUCUCUUCAUGCAGCACAUCUCAAACUCCAACCAUGACAUAAAUAUCUAUACUUGGACUUGGGGGACUAUUGUUGUGUAUUGUCAUACUUGGCCAAUCUACCUGGGCCAAUGGCCCACUCAGCAGAACUAUGUGGCACUUCAGUCGAGGCGGUACAUAUUGUCGAGGUGGGCUACGUCCGAAGCCCUUCAAUCCGAGGCAUGCCCCUUCAUCGAGGCCUGUGAUGGCAACCGAGGUCGACAUGCUGAGACCUAUUGCCGGACGCCAUGAUGCGGAGCUGGUUGAAGUUAGUUGAAGCCCUCAAGUGGAAGUAUUGUAUGAAAUGGCAGAAGCCCUGAAGCUGAUGCAGGAGCAUUCGAACCACAUGGGAACGUCCUCCAUGAUCACUUCUCCUAAGAGAUCGUCUACACAAAGAUCUUAUUCGAAUGAUUGAUGGAACGUUUGUCAUAAGCAUAAAGGUCAAGUCUUGUCACUAGCAUGGAUGCUCUGCACAAGCAAUAAAUGCGCAGCAAGCUAGCAAGUCAAGCCCCUGCCUAGGAUAAGAUGUUUGAAUCAAAGAGAUGAGGCCACGUGCCACCUCAUCCAAGGUCCCCCAUUUCACAUGUAUCACUAUAAAUACUUCCCUUGUGUAACAUCAAAGGACUAAUGCAAGAAUCUAUACAAAGAACUACACUUUACUCAACUCUCUCUUAUUUAUUUGCAAUACACAAAUCGAGUUUACAUAUAUUUACAUGUACAUUUACGAAUACCGGUUGGUAAUUAUUGUACAAUCGGAUCACGAACAACCCUCCGGAUUCCAAACGUCACCGUCCCGCAUCGUUGGGCUACUCCCACGACCUUUGAAUCACUCGUUGUAGACUGUCCACGUGUCAUAGCGUGUUGGACAUUCGUCCACGUGUGUGCAGGUAGGACCGACAUCUGUUGGCAACACUUUUUGGGGUCAACACAUGUGGUGACUGACCAUCACACCCGAGUUAGCAUUUUUGGACAUUUUUAUAGCUUCAAUAUUCUCAUGGUUGAUUAGUUAGCCAAGGAGCAUGUUGCAGUUAUAUUUUACAGUAUGCUAAUAAAAAAGUCAAGUAAUGGAUAGAACAAAUAUUUACCUUGAGAAGAAGGGCCUCGUAGGUUUUCUCUUUAAU